This 160-nucleotide ribosomal RNA is filed under the name Caloplaca cerina. RNAcentral describes it as "partial 18S ribosomal RNA". Lineage: Eukaryota; Fungi; Ascomycota; Lecanoromycetes; Teloschistales; Teloschistaceae. The record is from RNAcentral.
GGGUCUCCGGGGGCAACGAUCAGCUGCUGCGCGCCCCCGGGCGUGCAGUCCACAGAUCAAACGCGGGUGGCCUGCGCCUGCAGGUUGAGAUAUGACCGUAGCAGCUCCGCCGGGAGCCCGGCACACUAGUUCCGUAGGUGAACCUGCGGAAGGAUCAUUA